CAUAUGGAUUCCUACGGGAGGCAGCAGUGAGGAAUAUUGGACAAUGGAUGGAAAUCUGAUCCAGCCAUGCCGCGUGCAGGAAGACGGCCCUAUGGGUUGUAAACUGCUUUUGUAUGGGAGCAAUAAGGUCUAUGCGUAGACUGAUGAGAGUACCAUACGAAUAAGCAUCGGCUAACUCCGUGCCAGCAGCCGCGGUAAUACGGGGGAUGCAAGCGUUAUCCGGAUUUAUUGGGUUUAAAGGGUGCGUAGGCGGUUUGAUAAGUCAGCGGUGAAAUAUUUCAGCUUAACUGAAAGGGUGCCGUUGAUACUGUCAGGCUUGAAUAUGGUUGCUGUGGGUGGAAUGUGUGGUGUAGCGGUGAAAUGCUUAGAUAUCACACAGAAUAUCGAUUGCGAAGGCAGCUCACAAAGCCAUUAUUGACGCUGAUGCACGAAAGUGUGGGGAUCAAACAGGAUUAGAUACCCUGGUAGUCCACACUGUAAACGAUGAUAACUCGCUGUCGGCGAUACACAGUCGGUAGCCAAGCGAAAGCGAUAAGUUAUCCACCUGGGGAGUACGACCGCAAGGUUGAAACUCAAAGGAAUCGACGGGGGCCCGCACAAGCGGAGGAACAUGAGGUUUAAUUCGAUGAUACGCGAGGAACCUUACCCGGGCUCGAACGGUGCAGGAAUACGUCAGAGAUGAUGUAGCUAGCAAUAGUCUGUAUCGAGGUGCUGCAUGGUUGUCGUCAGCUCGUGCCGUGAGGUGUCGGCUUAAGUGCCAUAACGAGCGCAACCCUUGUCGUUAGUUGCCAUCAGGUAAUGCUGGGAACUCUAGCGAGACUGCCACCGUAAGGUGUGAGGAAGGGGGGGAUGACGUCAAAUCAGCACGGCCCUUACGUCCGGGGCGACACACGUGUUACAAUGGUAGGUACAGAGGGCAGCUACCCAGCAAUGGGGUGCGAAUCUCAAAAGCCUAUCUCAGUUCGGAUCGGAGUCUGCAACUCGACUCCGUGAAGUUGGAUUCGCUAGUAAUCGCGCAUCAGCCAUGGCGCGG
This 1033-nucleotide ribosomal RNA is filed under the name uncultured bacterium. Its description in RNAcentral is "bacterial SSU rRNA". It matches the Rfam family "Bacterial small subunit ribosomal RNA", at positions 328 to 1362 of the family's 1533-position model. The record is from RNAcentral.